Molecule: ribosomal RNA, 253 nt
Filed under: uncultured bacterium
Lineage: Bacteria
Description: partial 16S ribosomal RNA
Rfam family: Bacterial small subunit ribosomal RNA
Source: RNAcentral
UACGAGGGGUGCAAACGUUAUUCGGAAUCAUUGGGCGUAAAGGGUGUGUAGGCGGCGCGUUAAGUCUGUUGUUAAAUUUCCCGGCCUAACCGGGGUACAGCGACAGAUACUGGCGUGCUAGAGGAUGGGAGAGAGGAGUGGAAUUCUCGGAGUAGCGGUUAAAUGCGUAGAUCUCGAGAGGAACACCGAUGGCGAAGGCAGCUCCUUGGCCCAAUCCUGACGCUGAGGCACGAAAGCGUGGGUAGCAAACAGG